Molecule: long non-coding RNA, 4440 nt
Organism: Hippocampus zosterae (dwarf seahorse)
Lineage: Eukaryota; Metazoa; Chordata; Actinopteri; Syngnathiformes; Syngnathidae
Exons: 2
Source: RefSeq, a predicted model, not a curated record
AAAUAAAAAGAAAUAAUACAACAUGGAAUUACAUGCAUUUUAUGAAUCAAAAAAGCCUUUACAAGACGCACAAAUAGGUUUCUGCUUGAUGGACACUAAACCAGCUUCCAGAAUUUUCCAGAGACAAUUUGUGACUCAAGAAAACCUCACCAGGCAUUUCAAGAAACAGUUUGAUACCUAAUGGACAUACAGUACAUAAAAAAAAGAAAAGAAACAAAGGCCCCUCUUUGCAUAAUGUUCACUCUGCUUGCUUUUCUUACAGGCACUCUGACUGUGACGCAUCGGGUCUGUCCCACACAGUGCAUGGGAGCCAGUCAGCGGUGCCCCACCCUGUGGCUGUGCACACCUCCCAUGCAGGGCCGCUCCGUCAUGACCUUUCUGAUGCCGUCUGAGUCGUCAAUAAUAGGAGAUGAGACAUAAACCACAGUGGCGAAGGCAUGAGCAGAGACUUGGUGGGCCACCUUUUCAGGCUGGAGUGGGCAGGCAUGCGGCUUUGGCCACAGGAAGCUGUGAAUUCUUCGAAGAAUGGAAGAUGUCCUACAGGGAGACGUACUCGGCCCGCCUACGCCCAUUCCUUACCCCAAAAUGACCCCUGACCCAUCCGAAUGUUUAUAUCAGAGCGUGGACGUGAGAAAUAGUGAUGAGUCACUUUGGCCGUCUGUUUACACUCUGGAGUCACGCAAGGAAGGAAAUCAGCUACGGUCUGCUACAAGUGGCUAGCCUGGAGAGAGAAUAGAUGCGGCCCCUUCAGAGGUGCACCUCGAGCCCAGCGGGAUUUUAGAGGAUUUGCUUCACCUGAGGGCUGCUGUAAACUCCAUAAGACAACAGAAAACGCAAAACUUAGCAGCACAAAUGAAUUAUCGUCAAUUCGCACUUUCCUCAAGGGGAACUGCGCUGCAAGACAUUGUCUCAUCUUCCCUGAUGAUGCACUCUUAAAACUGCUCGGUCAAAAGUAACCCAAAUUGGGUGAAAUAGUCCGAAAGAGACUGAGCCAAUGUUGGGUGUUUUAUACCCAGCGUGUUGGGGUUGAGGGGUUGAGGGUUUGGGCCAGCAUAUUUAGUCAAUAUUUCGAGCCAAUAGAGGCUAAAGACUAACCAUACUGAUGCAUUGUCAAGUUAUCAGCAACCAAUUUUAUGGCUGUGCCAUCUGCCUCUUCCUGGAAUUUGAACCCAGAGCUCUGUGCUCAAGGUUGGCAGGAUUAUACAAUGAUCCACCCAACCACCAACAUUUUGUGGAAUGUCACAUUGAACUUACUUCAAGUUCAGUACACAGGCAAAGCGGGGACCAAAUUCAGCUCUUUCAGUUGCUAAAACCUGUUUUAGUGAUUGAUUUGAUAUGAUUGCUGAAGGUCAGUUGUCCCUGAUUUUGGAUUUGGCCUUUGGUUUCUAAACACAGGGCCCCCAGGUAUUUUCUAACAGCAAUACUCUUUUCUUUAUUGCCAAAAUCAAUUACCUCUGUUCUGUUUUGGUUUAGCUGAAGCAUAUUCUGGUUCAUCAAAGUUGAAGCACCGCGCACGGUUAGCAUUUCGACUGGUUAGCAUUUCUGUCUCACAGUGCAGAGGUCAUGUGUUUAUAUCCGGCUCCGGCCUCCCUGUGUGAAGUUUGCAGGUUCUCCUUGUGCCAUAUUCCAAAAACAUGCAUGGCAGGUUAAUGGAACACUCUAAAUUGUCCCUGGGCGUGAUUGUGAGUGCGAAUGGUUAUUUGUCUUUGUGUGCCCAGUGAUUGACUGGCAACCAGUUCAGGGUGUGCCCCGCCUACCGCCCAAAGACUGCUGCGAUAGGCUACAGCACGCCUGCGACCCACGUGAGGAUAAGAGGGUGAGAAAAUGGAACGAAUGUUAUUGUGGACUCUAUGGAUUAGGUCUUGAAAAGAAAUUGUCAACUCGUCAAUAAGUAGAUUGUGACGUGAUUUUGCUAUCUCGUCUCAGCACGUCUAUUUAAUGGGACCAGAAAAUAGGGCAAAAUAUGUUUUAUUCUAUACUUUCUAUUUAAUUGUUUUUAAUUUUUUCUAUUUAAAUACAUAUUUAUUAUUAAAAAAUUACAUAGAAAUUAAAUAAAAAGUUCUAUUUAAAUGUUAUUGUACAUUUUAAAGAGUGAUAUUUUCAUUCUUAAAAAAACUGAUGACAAACUAUUUUUAUUGUGUUUGCCAUUUCCAUUAAUUUUAAUGGGGGGGGGGGGGGGGGAUGAUUUGUGAUCGUUCACAUCAGCCUCUUCUAUGACUGUGGCCUGCAGGUAUUAUCCCAAUUUCAUCACAGUACAUUUCCCUAUGGAUUUCUGUUCUAACUAAAAAUAUAAUCUGCGCUUAUAAAUUCUGUCCCGCACAGUGAGUAUGUGUAAAUCAUACAUUUACUUUCUUAAUAACGUCUUCGUUAUUUACACAUUUGCAACCGUGUGCCAACCAUGUGGGCCACUGUCACCCCAACCCAAUUAUAAAAUGAUAGUAUUGCUGCUGUCCAAUGAAAAGCACGUAUAUCCCAGCUUUAAGUUUCUUUUGAUCUGAAAAUCAUUUUUGUUGUUCUUCUUUCAAAAGUAACCGGUAUUGCCCAAUCUCCACUCCAUCUUAGAAAAAUAUUUCUCAUUUAUGAAUUCAUUGAAAUAGUCCCUCUUGGCCAAUCUGCUGAAUGACCAUUUGAUUGUGAAGUUGUUAUCAAGAUAGGUCAUUACUGCACUUAUGCUCUAUAAAUAAACAUAACACCUCAUUGCCUUCCACCUAUAGGGUCGCACGUGCGCACACGCAUACACGCUCUGCCUCAAUAAGAGCCAACAUUUCUGAGUUUGGCAAGAUUUAUCCCGAAUUGUAACUCUUGUCAGGAGCUUUGAUUGAUAGUUGUGUUUAUCACCAUAUUAUUAAGUAAUCAAGCUCACCGCAGCAGGGCCUCAAGCUUCUCAAUUCCACUUCAGUGCAAAUUAAAGGUUUGGUUCAUGUUUAUUCUUGUGAUUGGAAAAAAAGAGAUAUAUCUAAGGAUUUUGUAGGAGUGGUCUGAUUGCAGCAGAUGCUUGGGAACAUUUGGUAGGAUGAAUCCUGUAGAUCAGUGGUUCUCAAACUUGUCAUGCCAAGUACCAGAUAAAAAAACCCUGGCCCUUCAAGUACCUCCAUGAUAAUCAACAUGAAAAUCCAAUAGCAGAGUAAGCCCAAAAUUUUUUAUUCCAAAUAUUAACAUGAGAAAAUGGGUGAUUUUAACAAUAACAUUUUGGAGAACAAUUUCAAAUUAUAAAUGAAGUCAAAAUAUUUGGGUGAAAAAAAUACGUCUGUGAAGUUGUGAUACUUGUGAUACAACCCCCAAAUUGACAGGAAUAAAGUCAAAAUGUUACGAGGAAAAAAAAAACAUUAUGCAAGGCUGAAGUUGGACUGCUAUUAUAUUUAAAUCAUACAGCAAGAGAGACAAAACUCAAAAUGAGACAAUUAUAAAGUUGUAAUAUUCUACAUUUUUUAAACAAAAACUCAAGAACUUUCGGGAAUAAAAUAAUUUUUUUUUAACCAAAACCUUUAAAUUCCAAAACAAAUUGCCUUCUGACCUAAAACACCCCCCCCCCCAAAAAAAACCCAAACAAAAAUAAAGAAUUUAAAGUUGAAAUAUUUCAUGAAAAAGGAGAACAUUACCAUGAAUAAAGCAGUAAUAUUUGUUUUAGAAUCGGUGCAGUGCCACAUGUAAUAUAAUACUUGUGGCAAUGCACCAAAAUAUUGAAAUAUGUAUGAAAAAGAACAAUAAUUGAUUUAAACGUGUUGCCCAUUAGAGUAAAAAAAAAAAGAAGAAAAAAACUACAUAAAAGUAUUGAAUGCGAAUCUCCUAAAAAAAGUUCAAUACAACUGAGUUGUACUUAGUGCUACUUUUGAAUUGCACGUGCAGCGCACUUUGAGAAUCACUACUCUAGAAUUGGUCCUGCUGCAAAACUGCAUCCGGAAUGUAAACAUCCUGUCUUUCAAAACAUUUAAGGCGCUUUUACAUUGUUGUAAAAAUGUUGCAAAAUGACGUUGCGUAAGUAUAUAUAUAUAUAUGCAACCUUUCGCGGUGUAUAAAAUGAGAAGCACUCGGCAGAGGAUUUGUUCUUGCUUCGUUAAUAGCGCCUGCGGCCAACUGACUUUGUGUACUGGCCAAGUAAACACAGUCACGGAAAAGCGGACAUGCUGUUGAGUGUGUCCUGACUGGAGACAGGCAGCAUUGUGGCACUGCACAGAUGGACAACGGCAAUGUGAAUGAACGACCAGUGGACCAUCGGCCAUGUUUUGGCUUCGAUGGCCCCUCGAAGAAGUUGGACUCAGGGAAUCAAUCAAAAACAAAAAGUAACAUUUUUGGCUAAUGUACCCACUUCUGUUUGCAAAAAUAUACAACGAACAUUUUGUAAUUCUCUUGCAUGCCAAUUGUUUGGGAAUUGUCAUCUAAGUGUCAAUUGAAUUACCCUAAACCCUUAAAUAAAUUAGCCGGUACCAGCACAAUUUUGAA